GGGGGCGUACUGGUUUCGACGGGGAUGCGGAGACCGGAAUAGCGGGCGGAUGCGCCUGACAUCCUUAAAACGGGCACCUAUAAAUUAAAGAACAACGAAAAGCCUGUUCUUCUCGCUGCCUAAGCAGUGAGCGUCCACGCCGGGAGGGCCGCGGCCCGGCUGCUGGGCGUUGAUUAGCGGCGAACGUGAGUGCGCAAAGCUUUGAGCGCACCAUGCAUAAUGAAGCUACCAAACCCGGAAGUGUGAGCGUUCACGUCCGGAUAAGGGAAUGUAAAUAACUCUCUGCGCCCGGAGAGGUUCCGGAGGAAGCAUUCUCGGACGGGGGUUCGAUUCCCCCCGCCUCCACCA
RNAcentral lists this transfer-messenger RNA (348 nucleotides) under Oscillospiraceae. Its description in RNAcentral is "Scatomorpha merdipullorum Standard tmRNA". It matches the Rfam family "transfer-messenger RNA". From Rfam's summary of the family: Bacterial tmRNA, also known as 10Sa RNA or SsrA, is named for its dual tRNA and mRNA-like properties. Its role is to liberate the mRNA from a stalled ribosome. Lineage: Bacteria; Bacillati; Bacillota; Clostridia; Eubacteriales. The record is from RNAcentral. RNAcentral also lists the same sequence under 2 other names.